UCCCUGGUGGCUCGGACGGUGAAGCGUCUGCCUGCAACGCGGGAGACCCGGGUUCGAUCCCUGGGUUGGGAA
Bos taurus (domestic cattle) is the source of this 72-nucleotide non-coding RNA. Lineage: Eukaryota; Metazoa; Chordata; Mammalia; Artiodactyla; Bovidae. The record is from Rfam.